CAAACAGGAUUAGAUCCCCUGGUAGUCCACGCCGUAAACGAUGUCGAUUUGGAGGCUGUGCCCUUGAGGCGUGGCUUCCGGAGCUAACGCGUUAAAUCGACCGCCUGGGGAGUACGGCCGCAAGGUUAAAACUCAAAUGAAUUGACGGGGGCCCGCACAAGCGGUGGAGCAUGUGGUUUAAUUCGAUGCAACGCGAAGAACCUUACCUACUCUUGACAUCCAGAGA
This 226-nucleotide ribosomal RNA is filed under the name uncultured bacterium. Its description in RNAcentral is "partial 16S ribosomal RNA". It matches the Rfam family "Bacterial small subunit ribosomal RNA", at positions 769 to 994 of the family's 1533-position model. The record is from RNAcentral.